GAAAAAUUUAGAGACUAUAAUCAGUGGUUUGUUUCAAAAUUUCCUCAAACUGCCCCAAACAAGAUACUGCACGUCCUUAUAUUGUAAACAGUGUGAAUAUCAUUAAUAAGUGCAAAUUACUUCACAAAUAUCAUGAAGAAUGCAAUCACCUAAGCCCUGUCUGCUGCUGAUAAUAUUAACUAUAUCGUAUAUGCUAAAAUUAAGUAGACAGUCUAAUAAAAAAUAUUAAUGGAAUCAGAAUGGAAAAAAUGAAGUAGACCAAGCAUUGAUUAAAAGUUUUCAGAAAUCUUCACAAGUUUUAGAAAGCACCCAAUGCAAUAGUCUUGAGUUUUGAGAGUGGGUAAUAGCAGUAUAAGGAUGAAAGCAAACAGAUGACUAAUGAAAAAUUAAAAGGUACUGCCAACCAGGACACAUGAGAGGCACAUGGUAGAAUUAAUUGAUCUAUGGCCAUCAGAGAUUGCAUCAUUAAAGAACAACAUGAUGCCUUUGAACCCUUGAACAUGCUCACAAGAUAAAGGCCAAGAAGACCUUGAGUCAAAAAAAUUAAUUUAGAUGUAUUGUUGCAUAAAGGUACAUUUGCAUAUGUGUGCCAGUGAGCAAAGAUUCAUGUGAGGCUUUCUUGAGGUGUCUAGAGUUUCCAUUAAAUGUAAGCAAUUAAACAAUUUAAUCGACUGAAAAACAAAAUUAAUGGGAGGUUUUAGGUUGCGAGAUCUAUUGGGUAUGGCACACUAUUGGUGGUUAGACCAAAUAAUUCAUGUUUGCCGAAUAAAACUAUUCUCCAGUUAUCCAUACGUUCCCACCUAGGUUUCAACCCUAACUUCUAGAAUCAGCCAGGCCUUUGAUGAAGACAAGCGCACGUGUUAAAAGAUCUCUAUCCAUCAAAGAUCAUAGCUCACAAAUUAAUAUGGUCAGAUAAAUGUUAAGGCCCUUGUGCCCUAAAUUGUUAUGCUGCCAUCAUAUAACUACAAAGGCUUUCCUCAUGAAAAAAAAUCCCAAAAAUGCCAGCAAAUUGAAAGCUAAGGUUGCUUUAACAUGCAAAAGAUGAUGUUUUUACCUUCUUCUGUAACAAGGGCAACAACAGUUUCUGAUAAAUUCUGCAGAACACUCCCACCACUCCAAGGAUCCAGUAGACCAUUAGAGAAAAUGAUGUUGCUUCCAAAUUUUUCCAGCACAGUCUUGAUAUCAUGUCCACCAAAUUCAGUUGUUAUCCAUCUAGGCCUAGGCACAACCCUGAAUUCCUUCCAGCAUUCUUCCUUGAAAGAAGUAUAAUUAAAAUUAUAAGUUGGAAACAUGCUUGCAUCCUUGCUGCUAGCCAUUGGCAUCACCAUCUCAGUACAAGCCUGCCAAUUCCAACCAUCCAAGCCAUGAGGAUCAUCAUCCAGUUCAAAGCAGUCAACAUUCCCACUAUAAUUGUAAUAGAUGCUUACUCCUUCAAAAAUGCGCUCCAGAAUGCUAGUCCCAUCAGGACAACCAUCAAUUUUUUUGCAAACCUAAAGCAAAUAAAUAAAUACAAAUUCAAAACAAAAGGGGAACCUCAUAAGAAAGUAUAGCCAAGUCCCUAAAUAAAAUUUUAAAAUAUUUACAAAGAAAAAAGACGAACGUUAAACUGCAAUGUCCCAUGCAGAAAGAGGCUAAAAUAUAAUCCAUAAAUUAAAAUAAGACAAAAACAUUCAACUCUAGAACAACAGAUCCUGACAACUCAUUUCAUAAAAUCAAGAAAAAUGCAGGUCAUACCCAAAUAAAAUCACAUUUUCCAUUCACUGAAAAUAAACUUAUUAUAGAUUCUCAUGUGAACCUGUACUUCUACGUUAGCUAGAAGAAUUACCAAGGUCCUGUAUGUAUGCAAGUGAACGGCAUUGGUAUAAUUUCAAAAAUGCAGAGAGUUCACAGUAACCUCUCUUAUGGGGUGUCCGGGCAGAGGCAUCAUAAAUGCGGAAGGAUAGGGAUAGUCCACCAUUGCCAAAUAACUAUAAGCAGAGUCCAGCCAGUCUGCAAGCUCUUCCGUUCUAUUUAAUUCCCGACACAGGCGAAAAGUUUUGGUUAAUUGCACAAGUCCAUUCUCUUUCUGACCCUCAGAUACUAAUGCUUCCCAUGACUCUUUUACAGUGUUAAAGCAACUGCUGCUUUCACGCUUGAAAUCGUUGGAGACGAUGUUAUAAAAAGUUUCCGGUGGCACAAUAUCUUCAAAUUGAAGAAUCGGCGCAGAUGAAGCAAGUGCACCGAUCGCUAUAUGAGGAUACUUCAGCCUCAUCCACGCCGCUAGCAUUCCACCGUACGAUCCACCGAAUAACACCACUGGACAACCCUCCGCCGAUAAGUUCCUCUUCAAGUCCGUAAUCAGCACCGCGAAAUCAGCCAGCGCUUGCUCCGCCGUUAGAUACGAUAGUGUAGUUGCGUUCUUAUACGCCACGUCCCUGCUCCCAAAUGGCAUUGACUCUCCAUAAUACCGAUGCUCAGGGAAAACGACCAUGGCGCCGAAACGGGGCGCGAUAUCCCAGACAAAGCCAGUGUUGAGUGCGAACCAUUCGAUGUCGCCUUCAUUUCCGCAGUAGAGGAAGAUAGGACCCAAACGGUCGGGACCCACCCAGUGCUCAGUGUUUAUCAGGUAGCGUUGGGGGAAACUCGGGAGUUCCGAGAAGCUGAAGUGGUCGAGUCUCUGAUAAAAGUAUCGGGUCUCGUAUCGGUACUCUCGCUGCUGCAGGGGUUUGAUCUGGUGUGAGAAUUUGCCAAGGAAGCGUGGGGCUCGUUUGGACAAGGGGAAAUUGGAGAAGCGGGAUGCAAGUGAUGGUGGGGAAGCUGUGGAGAUGAUGAAGAUGAUGAUCAGAAGGAGAUGAGGCAUUAGAAUGGUGGAUAAAUUGGGGAAUGCCAUUUCGGUGGAGCUUCAGUUUCAGUUAUGAGCUGCUAAUGGUAGACCUUCG
This 2918-nucleotide unclassified non-coding RNA is filed under the name Hevea brasiliensis (rubber tree). The record is from RNAcentral. Lineage: Eukaryota; Viridiplantae; Streptophyta; Magnoliopsida; Malpighiales; Euphorbiaceae.